RNAcentral lists this long non-coding RNA (1396 nucleotides) under Monodelphis domestica (gray short-tailed opossum). RNAcentral's name for it is "lncRNA (ENSMODG00000048420.1)". The record is from RNAcentral. Lineage: Eukaryota; Metazoa; Chordata; Mammalia; Didelphimorphia; Didelphidae.
AUAGACCCUGUGACCUGUGUUGCCUGUGAGGCUUCACAGAGGAUUUCUCCUAGUCUGAGAUGCUAUGGUUCCCUUGCAGUCAGAAAGACAGAAGUUCAAAUACUACUUAUGAAUACUAGCUGUGUGACCCUGGGUAAGUCAUUUAUCCUCUCUAAUACUCAGUUUUUUCAUCUAUAAAAAGGGGAUAAUAAAACCACCUAUGUUAUGGGGUCCUUAUGAGGAUUAAAAUAGAUAAAAAUAUAUAAUGAAUAAAAUGCUUUGCAAACCUUAAAGUAGUAUAUAAAAUGUCUACAAUAUAAAUACAGUACUACAUAAAAAGUUCUAUAAUCAUAAUUACUAUUAUUAUUAUUUAUUUAUAAAUCUCUCUUUCAGUAAAUCCUCCUUAGUUAAUCCAUCCCCCUCAGUUCUCUUCCUAUCUCCUAGUCUUGAUUUCUAUAAUUCUUGCUAAUGGAUUCUGUGUUUGUCUGGAUAUGUAUCUUACAUCCUAUCAGACUAGGUUCACUCAAAGCAGAGGUUGGGUCCUCUUCUCUUUCUGGCUCCCUCAUCCCAAUAGCCUGGCUAAGACUUCAUACCUAAAGUUGUCUUCAGGGUGGGGUGUGACUUGAGGGUCCUGAAGAACUGGCUCCUGAACCUAUUUUCCCCCUUCCCUAUCCCCGUCACCCAUAGAAACCCUGCAGGCAAGUCAUCACAUCCUGACAUGUACCAGGAGCUGAUAAUGACCCCAACCCCAGAAGUUCCUGUCACUCUCCCUCCUGACAUGUACCAGGAAUUGAUAAUGACCCCAGCCCCAGAAGUUCCUGUCACCCCCCCCCCCCCCACAUGUACCAGGAGCUGAUAAUGACCCCAGCCCCAGAAGUUCCUGUCACCCCCCCCUCCUGACAUAUGCCAGGAGCUGAUAAUGACCCCAGCCCCAGAAGUUCCUGUCAAGUUCCUAUUCGCUACCCUGACCCCAGGAAUUCCUGUGCACUCCCCCUACCACAGAAGUUCCUGUUCACUCCAGCGUAUAAAAGACAUUCAAGCCCUGGAGUCAGGUCUCCAGCCAUUUUUAGAGUGCCGAGCCCGAGCUGCAGUUUGUUUAAUAAACUCCCUCCUGUAUUUUACAUUGUUGGUCAUCGUUUCAUCCUUGGGAUCCAUUCACUGGGCACUUCAUAUGGGGGCUCGUCCCGGGAUCCCACGAAGGAAGCGGAGUCUGACCAACAGAGGGCGGGGACCCCUGUCGCCGGGGCAACUCGAGAUGACGGGUCCAGAACACAUCACAAGUCGUUGGGAUCGGGAGGGUCUGGAUCCCCGACUCCCUCUCCCUUGGAUGAGUCGUGGGAAGGACCUGCUGGACUCGACUCCCUUAAACAAGGUAUUCUGGCCAGUUCAUUUUAGUCGACUUUAUUUGAGGGCUUAG